RNAcentral lists this transfer RNA (74 nucleotides) under Candidatus Woesearchaeota archaeon. RNAcentral describes it as "tRNA-Ile". It matches the Rfam family "tRNA". From Rfam's summary of the family: Transfer RNA (tRNA) molecules are approximately 80 nucleotides in length. Their secondary structure includes four short double-helical elements and three loops (D, anti-codon, and T loops). The record is from RNAcentral. Lineage: Archaea; Nanobdellati; Candidatus Woesearchaeota.
GGCUCCGUAGCUUAGCCUGGUUGAGCGCACGACUGAUAAUCGUGAGGCCCCGCGUUCAAAUCGCGGCGGAGCCA